GUAAUUAAUUAGUAAAGAGAGGAGCUUUGUCGUGUGUGUGUGUUAAAAGUGAAACUAUAAUCAACCUAUUCAAGUACUACAUUAUACGAUAGAGAACAAUUUUAUGGUAUUGAAUAUAUGUAAUUUAUUUUUGGGGUGGAACUGUGGAAGAUCGGUAAUGUGGUUAGGAGCCAAAUUGGUAGGUUGUUAAAAUAAAUAUAGAUGGCGACUUCAUCACCCAUAUUCUCCACACGCUCUCAUAUGGUACGUACGUACACACACACACUCACACGUCUCCAGUUUCAUAAAUCGUUUUGUUAAUUAGCUUAGCUACUAGUAAAUUCUUUUCUCUUAAUCACGUGGAUCCUACGUACGCCCCAACUUCCAAUUUAAAAAUGUCGGAUUUUGAGUAGAGAUGCCACUCGAGGUCAUUAUUGUUUUCUACACAUGAGACAUCAUUAAAUUAUCAGUAUUUGGUUUAGAAUGUGUGAUAAAAUGUCGAAACAAAUGAGUAAUAAUAAGUUACUCUAAACCCCAAAUAAGUUACUACUCUAUAUAUGAAGUUUGAAUCGCUAAAAAUGAACACAUCACUUGUGAUUCACUGAGCUCCUCGAAAGUCUUAAUUUGGGGUUUUCUUUCGGUACGACGCUAAAAACCAAAAAAUGAAACACGGAUAAUAGUAGUAAGGAUAAUAAAAGGAAAUGUGUUGUUUACACACGUGAGAGUUUCCAGAAUUUGUGGAAGUUUCGUAUGGUAAUUUUUUCGUACGAAAAAAAAAGAAUUUUGAAAGAUAGACGUGUAACGUGUCCUAGAUUAAUCUGUACUGAAUAGUGAAUACAAGUCUUUCUUUUUAACUAUAUUGGUGGUUCGAACGACAACAAAACAAAACCAGAAAUAUUGAAAUAAAAUGAUAAAUCUUUUAGCUGUUUGAAAUAAAAUGUAAGAAAAUAAUCAAAUGAGAUGGUGAAAAUAUAGUUAGAAAGUUGUGAAAUAUAGUAACAUUUUUUUUGUUCUUAUAAUUAAUAUGGUAAAUGCAGAAUCUGAUUUAUAACAAUAUCGUAAAAUCGUGUGACAUUAUUAAAAAAAGUCUGAACUGGAGAAAUAUCCCAUAAUUUUUGUCGGGUCACUAAUCAUAUCUAUAUAUGUAUAAAUAACCCCUACAAAACGUAAUUAAACAACAAUGUAAAGAUAUGUAAUAAGUAAUAAGUAAUUAACGUAGGUUAAAAAGAUCAGAGAGAGAGAGAGAUGGAUGUAAAAUGUAUACCCAGUAAGGGGUAAUGAUAGGAGCAGGAGCAGCAAAAACGGGCUCGUUACGGAUAAGGGUUGGAACGGAACGGGAGGAGGAGGAGGAGGAAGAAGAAGAAGGGAGGCAAGCGACGGUGGGAGAAGAACGAAGAGAGAGCUUUUGGAGAGAAGAUUGAGAAGGAGAAAGAGAGGUGAGGAAGAAGCCGGAGAGAGGAGCGGUCGACAUUUGCUGGUGAAGAGAAGUUUAUUAGUGAGAGAGUGGUAUGUAUUUUUAUAGUAAUAUAUAGACUUAUGGAAGCUACUUAAAGUGAAAAUAUUAUGGGAAUGGUGAAAGAUUUUGAGGGUUUUUAAAAGAAGAACGGUACUGUCUCAUGGUCAUGGUGAGGUUGUGGGAACGAGGAUAAUGAAAGCGAUGGGUGAGGUGAAUAAGAAAGCUUCUUCUCUUUUUGUGGAUGAGGAAUAUUAGCUCAAGUUCUACGUGCCCUUGUUCUUUCAAAAUUGGUUAUUUUAUUUUAUAUUUAGAAAAUAAAAGGUUUUCAAAAAGUUAAAAGGAUAAGGUCCCUUAUCACCAAAACAAGAAUCAGCCUCUCAGACUCUCAUCUUAAAUAAACACCACCCACUUUAGAUCUUAGGCCAUUGUUUGUAUUGCGUAUGAGUCAUGCUUCAGUAAGCGCUUCAAAGGCCAGAGAGACUGCUCUUGUAUGCACAUUAAUUUACUCCAGAAGAUGCACACAAUGUAAGGAAAGGAUUUACGUCAAUCAUGGACGACCAAUUCUAUUCUAUAGGAGAACAGACUCGGUGAAAAACUCUUAUUAGUAGCAUGAACAAUAAGAAACUCAUUAAAAUGGAGAAUGAAAAAAAAAGAGAGACGAAGUCAUAAAAAAGAAGCUUUGUUUCUCUCAACCGUUCACUCAGAUCUUCCAUGACCAUAACUCAUACAAGCAAAAUUAGGGAGAAAGUAGAGUUUCUACUUCCUUCCCCAGUGUUAGGAGAGAGAGAAAUUGAAGAAGAAAG
This 2238-nucleotide long non-coding RNA is filed under the name Eutrema salsugineum. RNAcentral's name for it is "long non-coding RNA (ESAL_LNC001697)". The record is from RNAcentral. Lineage: Eukaryota; Viridiplantae; Streptophyta; Magnoliopsida; Brassicales; Brassicaceae.